CAUUGUGUACCAGAGGACAUGAUAGAGAACAGAGGAAGGAAGAUGGCCGAUGAUUAGCGAUGUAAACAAGAAGGCCUGAGAUGUGAUUCUAAGUUUGGCUCUAGUACUGGUUUAUAAUUGAUUAUUAAACGUUCUGUUUUAUAUCACUUUCGUUGAGUGAUUGACCUCCUUGUGUGUGUGUGUGGACAUCUAUGCUGUGCAAGUUUGUUGUUGCUGAUUUCCAAAGAUGGAGAAACAGGAAGUGGAUACAUAAGAGGCACGUCUAUCUAGAAGUCAGUUUUAAUGUAGGCCUAUUGAUUUCAACAUUAUUUCAUAGUUUGCGAAUCGACGAAGAUGUCCAGAAGACGUGCCUAUGAAAAAACGUCAGGAAGUUGCUUUACUGUGGUCAGCUAUGCUGAGGCCGGUCUGAUGUCCAGUAUCAGAUCCAUAACUUUGUGAAGAAUGACUUCAGAAAAGCUACUGUGAACAGAUGUGCCACGCUUCAGCUUGUAGGUCAAGGCUAGUCGCAAGAUUCUGACGUCGCAUGUUCAGACGAUCAUGAGUGCAGAUCCACGUGCCUGAGUUAAGUGAAGACUAAAAGGCUGGAAACUAAAGGUUCGGGUUUAAAAGAGAUGGAGGGACUUAGAGGCGCCCUAAAGAUCCCGAAAUUAAAAAUCCAAGUCCUCACUAGGAUUCAAACCUGGGACCAACUGUUCCCUCGUGGUCAGUCUCAUUCCUUUGAUGGAAGUGCAGAACUCAGAGAACGUCUGACACUACGCACUCGUUUUCUCCCUGCUUCAUAAUGAAUUAUUUCCCUUUUGUUUUUAAACACAGGGAAGCUAAGACUAAAUAUUUUCUAAUUUAAAGAGUGUGGCUAUUGGAAUUAGAUUUAAAUAUACCAUACCUUAUUUUAUGGAAAAUUGUUUUGAUAUGUAAUAAAAAAAAAAUGAUGUGUAAAUAAGAAUCAAUACUCAGAUAAGUUUUCAAGCUAUUUUGAAAUGUUGAAAUCAUACAAGGGAGAUAAGUCAAGUUUUCUAACCUCAUACGAGAUGAUAUACGGAAUCCUCGCUUUGGGAAUAUCAUUCCGUGAUUUAUAUUCAGCUCAACAAUCCUCUCUGAUUGCCUGUAA
Biomphalaria glabrata is the source of this 1108-nucleotide long non-coding RNA. RefSeq lists it as uncharacterized. The record is from RefSeq and is a predicted model, not a curated record. The transcript has 4 exons. Lineage: Eukaryota; Metazoa; Mollusca; Gastropoda; Planorbidae.